This is a non-coding RNA of Sporomusa sp. An4, 177 nucleotides long. It matches the Rfam family "6S / SsrS RNA". From Rfam's summary of the family: E. coli 6S RNA was the first non coding RNA to be sequenced, but its function was unknown until recently. It consists of 184 nucleotides that fold into an extended hairpin structure with a large single-stranded internal bulge. The record is from Rfam. NCBI's taxonomy places the organism in Bacteria, Bacillati, Bacillota, Negativicutes, Selenomonadales, Sporomusaceae.
UAAUGCCUGAGGUGCUCGUUACACUCUUAUAUGUUCAACCUACUCAUUUACUUGGGGAGUUUGAUGUGAUGCCGCUGCCAUGCCUCCUUGGAGUGGAAGGCAAAAGCCUAACUAGAAAACGCCCACCUGCUUAGCGGCGGGUAUGAACAUACGAGAGCACGGUACCAUGGGCGUACA